UGAGGAAUAUUGGUCAAUGGGCGAGAGCCUGAACCAGCCAAGUAGCGUGCAGGAUGACGGCCCUAUGGGUUGUAAACUGCUUUUAUGUGGGGAUAAAGUGCGUGACGUGUCAUGCAUUGCAGGUACCACAUGAAUAAGGACCGGCUAAUUCCGUGCCAGCAGCCGCGGUAAUACGGAAGGUCCGGGCGUUAUCCGGAUUUAUUGGGUUCAAAGGGAGCGUAGGCUGUCUAUUAAGCGUGUUGUGAAAUUUACCGGCUCAACCGGUGGCUUGCAGCGCGAACUGGUCGACUUGAGUAUGCAGGAAGUAGGCGGAAUUCAUGGUGUAGCGGUGAAAUGCUUAGAUAUCAUGACGAACUCCGAUUGCGCAGACAGCUUACUGUAGCAUAACUGACGCUGAUGCUCGAAAGUGCGGGUAUCAAACAGG
Molecule: ribosomal RNA, 424 nt
Filed under: Fusobacteriota bacterium
Lineage: Bacteria; Fusobacteriati; Fusobacteriota
Description: Fusobacteria bacterium partial 16S ribosomal RNA
Rfam family: Bacterial small subunit ribosomal RNA
Source: RNAcentral